Molecule: non-coding RNA, 2576 nt
Organism: Vicugna pacos (alpaca)
Lineage: Eukaryota; Metazoa; Chordata; Mammalia; Artiodactyla; Camelidae
Source: RefSeq, a predicted model, not a curated record
AUUAACAAAAGUCUCUGGUAAAUCUUCCUCUGAAAUCUUGGCAUGUCUGUCCCGUGUCAUGAGGCUGAUCUCUAUCUGAUCAGACUCCUCAGGUGCCAGGAGGAACUUCAGAGCGUUCUGGCCAUUCUCCUGAGAUUAUCAUCCUGUGGCUCCCUUCCUGGGGGAGUGACUCAAAAUCCAAACAUGACUGUAGAUUUCAGUUACCAGAGUAAGGUAAACAGGGGCCUCGCUGGGCCUGGGGCUGGGAGCAGUGUCCCGGCAGUCAGACUUGCUGACCAUCUGAAAGCAGAUAGUAAGUGCAAGGCCAAGAAUGGUUAGCCUAAGCCUGGCCACUUUAUUAGUUCUCCUUCACUGCUUCUCAGCUGGCAAAGGAAUCUCCCCUAGGCACCGCCUCUGAGAAUGAUGGGAACUGAUAGAUACUGUUGUGCGUGAAAUGACAGUUUUUCCAGUCAUCCCAGUUUCUCUUCUUUAUACCAGUGCUUCACUCACAACCUGUCCACAUGCAUAGAAAAGAACAAGGGCAGUGGCUACUAUAAAAAGUCAGGCCAAGUAGGGAGGGUGUAGCUCAGUGGUAGAGCACGUGCCUACCAUGCACAGGAUCCUGGGUUCAGUCCCCAGUACCUCUGUUAUAAAUAAAUACCUAAAUAGAUAAAUACCUAAUUACCUCCCCUGCAAAAAAAAAAAGAAAGAAAGAAAAGGCAGCUGAGAAGAGCCACAAAAAAAUCGUAAAAUCGUAAGCUGUGUAUUCAGCACAAUGUUAUAUAAUUUACAUUGAUUUCAAGGCUUUGGAGGAGGUCAGAGAAUGGCACCCAUGGCUGAGAGAACAGAGGGCAUCCUUGUCCACUGGCAAAGGUGACCCAGACUGUCCUCUGUGUACAAGAAAGAAGUUAAAAGUUCUAUCUUGGGGGAGGGUAUAGCUCAGGGGUAGAGCGUGUGCUUCGCACGUACGAGGUCCUGGGUAAGUUCUGUCACUUAACCAGACAUCGAUCAUUUCUACCUUUUUUUCUUUAUUCCUGAAGUUCCGUGUUCCCCUCUGAGAACAUUCCCCUCCAGCCUUGACUUCCUUCAGUAAUGUCUCUGAGAGCAAACGUGCUGGCGGUGAAUUCUUUCACUUUCCUUCUGUGAAUACCCAUGCUUUACCGUAACCACUGAAGGGUGUUUUCCCUGGGUGUAGAAUUCUGAGUUGGGGCUUCUUUCGGCACUUGGAAGGUUUUGCUCCAGCGCUGUCAUGGUUUCUGAGGAGGAACCCUUUGUUUCCCAGAGCGUCUGUGAUGUGUGGAUUACUGGUCCCCUACGCGGGUGGAGCGCAUCAUUUUGCUAUGGUUGCUUUCAAGAGUCUUUCUUAGUUUUUGGUUUUCAUUGUCUUUUGUGUAACGUGGGUUUGUUCUAGUUUUUUUUUUUUUUUGAGUUUCUCUUGUUUGGGGCUCACUGAACUUCUUGAAUCUAUAAAUUUAUGUCUUUUACCAAAUUUGAGGGGUUUUUAGUCAUUAUUUCUUCAAAUGUUUUGACAGUCACAGUGUCUUUGUCUUCUUCAGGGAUCCAGUGAUGGGGGUUUUGCCCCACAGGUCCUCGUGACUGUGUGCUUCAGUCCUUUUUCCGUCUGUUCUUCAGGCUGAAUAAUCCCUGCCUAUCCGUCUUCGAGUUCACGGGCACUUUUCUCUGUCAUCUCUGCUCCGCUGCUGAGCCGCCCCGAUACUCCCCCCACCCCAGACAUUCUGUUUUUCAGUUCUGAAAUGUUCAUUUGGCUCUUCCUUAUGGUUUCUCCUCCUCUGCUGACAAUUUAUUUUCAUUUCAGAAGCACUCACAUUUACUUCAUAGAGGAAGGUUACAACGGUUGCUUCAAAUCAUUGAUUUCUGUUGGUUUUAUUUGACACUGCCUCAUGUGUUUGGUCUGCGUUGGACCUCUUGGAUUUUCUCUGGUCCUGAUGCACUCUGCUGGACUCCCCCACCCUCACUGCCCAGUCCUGCGUCGGGCAGUCCUGUACUUGACAAUGCCAUGUCUGAGAUCAAGAAAUUGAAGCACAGAGGGCCUGAAAGCUUGCCCGAGUCCCCCGGCUCUUAAGUGGCUGAUCGAGCUGGAAGCGCCAACUCUCAACCACGGCGUUCUCUCACUGAUUCCUCUGCUGGUGGUCAGAGAGCCAGGAACAUGGAUAAUGGUGAACACGUACCCACAGAGUUUCUGAAAAGUAUAAGACUAGAAAGUAAGUGCCCUUCAUUGAACCAACUGGUAGCUGUUACCGCGGGCCCGUAACUUUUGCCCCAGAGCACGUUAGAAGGCCAUAAGCACCUUCCUGCUCUGGAGGGCGUCCCACCAGAGUGAAGACAUUCAGCCGGAAGACAUGCUGCUGCCUUGAUUAUCAACUCUCAGUUACACACAGGAGUGCCAUCCAGACCGCUGGCAGAGCACAGCCCCUCAGGCCACAGGCCGGAAGCAGCGUGGCCACUGUCUGCCUUCGUUUGGGAAUGAAGGGACCAGAAACACCCUCUGCUAUCCUGAAAUUUCCAUUUCUUUUCAAUAAAAAGAAUCAAUUUGAAAGGAGAGACCACCUUCUUCUGCAGGUCUUAGGAGAGUAGGG